This 292-nucleotide ribosomal RNA is filed under the name uncultured bacterium. RNAcentral's name for it is "partial 16S ribosomal RNA". It matches the Rfam family "Bacterial small subunit ribosomal RNA", at positions 505 to 796 of the family's 1533-position model. The record is from RNAcentral.
GUGCCAGCCGCCGCGGUAAUACAGAGGUCCCGAGCGUUGUUCGGAUUCACUGGGCGUAAAGGGUGCGUAGGUGGCUGGGAAAGUUUGAUGUGAAAGCUCAGGGCUUAACCCUGAAAUGGCAUUGAAUACUGCCUGGCUGGAGGUUUGGAGGGGGGACUGGAAUUCUUGGUGUAGCAGUGAAAUGCGUAGAUAUCAAGAGGAACACCAGUGGCGAAGGCGAGUCCCUGGACAACACCUGACACUGAGGCACGAAAGCCGGGGGAGCAAACAGGAUUAGAUACCCUGGUAGUCC